ACAGCGGAUGCCGAAAAGCUGUGAAAUAGAGUAGGCA
Non-coding RNA from Bacteroidetes bacterium GWF2_33_38, 37 nucleotides. Lineage: Bacteria; Pseudomonadati; Bacteroidota. The record is from Rfam.